UAUAACGAAAUUAGACUUUAUUAGUUUUUUAUGCUGGUUAAUCCAAAGGGAGUAUCUGCGUAUUCGCGAAGUCGAUUAUUGCCCGGUAUCAAGAAGGGGGUAAAAAAAAAGCGCCCGCAGGCGCUUUUGAGAA
This 133-nucleotide small RNA is filed under the name Klebsiella oxytoca. RNAcentral describes it as "Enterobacteria sRNA STnc130". It matches the Rfam family "Enterobacteria sRNA STnc130". The record is from RNAcentral. Lineage: Bacteria; Pseudomonadati; Pseudomonadota; Gammaproteobacteria; Enterobacterales; Enterobacteriaceae.